This is a long non-coding RNA of Alexandromys fortis (reed vole), 1113 nucleotides long. RefSeq lists it as uncharacterized. The transcript has 3 exons. Lineage: Eukaryota; Metazoa; Chordata; Mammalia; Rodentia; Cricetidae. The record is from RefSeq and is a predicted model, not a curated record.
GGAGCUUUCUCCCAUUCCGAGCUGGACCCGCAUCCCACGAGCGCACAGCCCGCAGCAAGGGACGCAUCUCUGUGUUGACUGAUGGAAAACUGAGCCUGGCUGUGGGGAACAAUGAGCAAGACCCUUUUGCCUCUCUGGGCCUCAGUUUUCUCCAUCUGUGAAGUGGGUCAAAGCAGAGUGACUGUCAUGGGAUGAGACCCUUCAUAGUGAGUCCCUAACUCAGCCUGUUUGUGAUUAGAGAACUCAACAAAACCAGGGACAAAAUCAGCUCCUUGGAUGCCAGGACAAUUCUUCGAAUGGAAAGUCAAGCUGGCCCUUCAGCUCACAUGGGCUGACUCAUACCUAACCCCGAGCUGUUCCCCCCUCCCUGGAGCUCCCCAUAGUUUCCCCUUGGCCAGAGAGGAAGCUGAGCUCUGGAAGCAGGCACAGAAGAGGGUCCAGGGUGACUCAUUGAGCCUUCUUGCUCCUGAGUCACCCCUAGAGUAUUCACCUCAGGCUCUCACCCUCUGGGGCCCCUGUCAGCCUUUUCCUGCCUGAUGGAUAGCCCUGCCCAGCAGUCACUCCUGGAAGACAGGUUCCCAUGAUUCUCUGCUACCCUCCCUAGACUCAGGUAUGCACCUGUACAGUUGUGUAUGUUGCCAAAAUAUGGAGACAACUCCCACUAUGGUUGAAUGGUGAUUGCUCUGAACCCUAGGGCCCUGGCCUUCUCCCUACAUGGCCUAGUCACAAAGGGACGACUCUGAAGAUCAGAAAUCUCACUCCAGGACCAUCCCUGGUUCUCUUUCACUCACCAUGAGGGUUUCUUUGCAAGGAGGUCACCCUGCAAAGGUGGCUCUAGGUGGGGCUGAACAAGCUCUGCCAGGCGCAGCAUCCCUGCAGGACAGGCUGCCUUGCCUCCUGUCCACGCCCAGCUGCUUCUUCCUGCCUGCUGCCUGCUCCUCCCCUUCUGAGCCCUGCUAGGCUCACGCAUACCAGACCAGUGCAGCCGCAUUCUUGGGCCAGUGUCUAGGGUGUGAAUGACCCUGGGUCUGGUCAGGUCAGAAGGUCAGGGCCUUGUUCCCUCCAAUGCCCAGAAUACCAAGUGAUAGUCAGGCUACAAGGCACAGACCUAGA